GGGCCCGCACAAGCGGUGGAGCAUGUGGUUUAAUUCGAUGAUACGCGAGGAACCUUACCAGGACUUAAAUGUAAGUUGCAUGAUUCAGAAAUGAAUCUUUCUUCGGACUACUUACAAGGUGCUGCAUGGUUGUCGUCAGCUCGUGCCGUGAGGUGUCAGGUUAAGUCCUAUAACGAGCGCAACCCCUAUCGUUAGUUGCCAUCAAGUAAAGUUGGGAACUCUAGCGAAACUGCCGGUGCAAACCGAGAGGAAGGUGGGGAUGACGUCAAAUCAUCACGGCCCUUACGUUCUGGGCUACACACGUGCUACAAUGGUCGGUACAGAAAGCAGCCACUAUGCGAAUAGGAGCUAAUCUUUAAAACCGAUCUCAGUUCGGAUCGGAGUCUGCAACUCGACUCCGUGAAGUUGGAAUCGCUAGUAAUCGCAUAUC
Molecule: ribosomal RNA, 430 nt
Filed under: uncultured bacterium
Lineage: Bacteria
Description: bacterial SSU rRNA
Rfam family: Bacterial small subunit ribosomal RNA
Source: RNAcentral